AAGACACUAAUAAAAGAGUACAUUACACCGCCUUGUCAAGGCGGAAGUGUGGGUUAAACCCCCGCGUGUCUUG
Molecule: transfer RNA, 73 nt
Filed under: Sebastes vulpes
Lineage: Eukaryota; Metazoa; Chordata; Actinopteri; Perciformes; Sebastidae
Description: tRNA-Asp
Rfam family: tRNA
About the family: Transfer RNA (tRNA) molecules are approximately 80 nucleotides in length. Their secondary structure includes four short double-helical elements and three loops (D, anti-codon, and T loops).
Source: RNAcentral